Molecule: small RNA, 530 nt
Filed under: Arabidopsis thaliana (thale cress)
Lineage: Eukaryota; Viridiplantae; Streptophyta; Magnoliopsida; Brassicales; Brassicaceae
Description: ATSL102160
Source: RNAcentral
UUUAUUUAUUUAAAUCAGAUAUAAAAGAAAAAUAAAGUUAAAGGACCAUUUUACAAAUAAUAAAGUUUGACUCUAGAUAUAGUAAAAAAAAUAUAGAUCUUCUAUAUAUAGAGAUAAAAAUAGAGAUCUCUAUUUAGAGGUGAGAAUAGAAGUGCGUUGGAGUAAAAUUUACUCUAAAAUAUAGUAUAGAAGCAAAAAUAGAAGUGAGUUUGAGAUGCUCUUAUACUGUUACACUGGAACCUAAAACGUGUAAAAAUUAUCAUUCGAUAAAUUUAUAAUUUAAUUUGAGUUUGAUUAUUAUAAAAGUGUAAAUAGUCCGCGCUCUGCUCGGUCAAGCAAUGUGGGACAUUGUACACAUUGUCUAAUUGUCUAAUUAUUGUCUCGGUCAAUCAAUCUCGGUAAAUGACAAUCAUUGUCUAAUUGUUAAAGCAAUGUGGGACAUUGUACACAUAUUUUUUAUCAUCAAUUGAGUAAUCUAUGUUUGUUUUUAAAAAAAACUGAACCACGUCAUAAGGAGGAAAAAAAUCUAU